Molecule: unclassified non-coding RNA, 378 nt
Filed under: uncultured Parachlamydiaceae bacterium
Lineage: Bacteria; Pseudomonadati; Chlamydiota; Chlamydiia; Parachlamydiales; Parachlamydiaceae
Description: contains 16S-23S intergenic spacer region
Source: RNAcentral
UCCCGUUUAACACGGGCAGUCUCACUAGAGUUCCCACCAUUACGUGUUGGCAACUAGUGAUAAGGGUUGCGCUCGUUGCGGGACUUAACCCAACACCUCACGGCACGAGCUGGCGACAGCCAUGCAGCACCUGUGCAGCAGCCCCGAAGGGAGACGCCAUCUCUGGCGCUGUCUACUGCAUGUCAAGCCUGGGUAAGGUUCUUCGCGUUGCAUCGAAUUAAACCACAUGCUCCACUGCUUGUGCGGGUCCCCGUCAAUUCUUUUGAGUUUCACCCUUGCGAGCGUACUCCCCAGGCGGUAUACUUAUCGCGUUGGCUUCGGCACAGCCGGGGUUGAUUCCAGCUACACCAAGUAUACAUCGUUUACGGCAAGGACUAC